Molecule: long non-coding RNA, 1160 nt
Filed under: Homo sapiens (human)
Lineage: Eukaryota; Metazoa; Chordata; Mammalia; Primates; Hominidae
Description: HSALNT0368236
Source: RNAcentral
CAGGGACCUGUAGGCAGGUGGAGAGGGGAUGGGGGAGGUCUCAGGUCCUCUUGCUCACCCAUCAGCUGUGUAGUGUCUGAAGUGAUUAAGGAGCUUGGGGAGAGCCCUGAAUGGGAAGAAAUGGGUUCCAUGUGCAGCAAGCCAGGAGAGAUUUAGGCAACGAGAACCUCCAGUUCUGUCUUAGGGUUCCCAGCUUUCUCCUUGUCCUGAGGGAGCCGCUGAGCCUGUGGGAGAUGAGGGGUGCCCAUUCCCCAGUGCUUCUCACCCUCCCCCACCUGCCCUCCUGGGGUACCUUUGUCUGCCACUUGCAUCCUAUUGGAAGCUGUCCCCAAGUGCGUGUUAGGCAGGUGGCAGGUGCUGGAGCAGAGUGCACCACCCUCCGGCGAUCACUGUGAGUUGGGGUAAGAGUGGGGUGUUCCUGCCAGCCCCAGGAGAGGGGAAAGCAAGCCCCCGUCCACCCUUGUGGGUCUCUGCUCCUGGAAAAGGUGCUCUAGCAGGCUCAUCUGUGUGAGUCACUGUCUUCCAUGUGGGCCCCUGCCCAUCUGAGCAGCAGAGUUCAUCCCAUACCCUGCAGGGAGUCCAGCGCCACCAUGAUGUCCCUCUCUUCCCUCCUUGAGGCUGGCUGGGUCCAGCCUGAGCUGUGCCACCUGCUGGCUCAGGCCAGUGGGAUUGUGCCUCAGGCAGGCUCCUGCCCUUCCAAGCCAAGGGCUUGGCUGCAGACCCGACAGCGGCUCCCAGAGGGGCUGUGCUGAAGAAGCCUUGGUGAUAUGGGUGCAAAUGCCAAAAACAUGGAAUGCUGGAAGCCAAGCUUGCACAUUCUAGGCAGCCAUUUGGAAGAUUCUUCUCUGCGCAUGACCAGCUGAAAAGGAAAAACCCCGAAACAUUGGCACUGUGAUUUCUCCAUGUGAACAGUUUAGUUCGCCGAGGUGGACAUGCCUCAUUCAUGCUUAUGGAGUGACCGACCAGCCUUUAGUGACACCCCCUGAAAUGUGAGUCAUCCAUGGGUCACUAGUCAUUGGAGAAGAGCCCCUUAUACAAAACUUGGAGCUCAGACCACAAACAACAACAACAAUCCAAAAAAUAAAAAAAUGAAAAAUUAGGAGCAGAGACUAAAUGGAAAGAUGGAAAUAUUAAAAUAAAAAUAUUAUUUUAAAAAUUAA